UGGGGAACAUUGCGCAAUGGGCGAAAGCCUGACGCAGCAACGCCGCGUGAGUGAUGAAGGCCUUCGGGUCGUAAAGCUCUGUCGGAGGGAACGAAUGCUCCUGAAGUUAACAGCCUCAGGAGGUGACGGUACCCUCAAAGGAAGCACCGGCUAACUCUGUGCCAGCAGCCGCGGUAAUACAGAGGGUGCAAGCGUUGUUCGGAAUCAUUGGGCGUAAAGGGCGCGUAGGCGGCAAUUCAAGUCAUCUGUGAAAUCUCCGGGCUUAACUCGGAACGGUCAGAUGAUACUGCUUUGCUAGAGUGCAGAAGGGGCAAUCGGAAUUCUUGGUGUAGCGGUGAAAUGCGUAGAUAUCAAGAGGAACACCUGAGGUGAAGACGGGUUGCUGGGCUGACACUGACGCUGAGGCGCGAAAGCCAGGGGAGCAAACGGGAUUAGAUACCCGUGUAGUCCCUGAGCGGGCUGGCAAGGCGCAU
This 473-nucleotide ribosomal RNA is filed under the name uncultured bacterium. RNAcentral describes it as "bacterial SSU rRNA". It matches the Rfam family "Bacterial small subunit ribosomal RNA", at positions 355 to 825 of the family's 1533-position model. The record is from RNAcentral.